RNAcentral lists this ribosomal RNA (254 nucleotides) under uncultured bacterium. RNAcentral's name for it is "partial 16S ribosomal RNA". It matches the Rfam family "Bacterial small subunit ribosomal RNA", at positions 524 to 776 of the family's 1533-position model. The record is from RNAcentral.
CACGUAGGCACCAAGCGUUGUCCGGAUUUAUUGGGCGUAAAGAGCUCGUAGGCGGUUCGGUAAGUCGGGGGUGAAAACUUUGGGCUCAACCCAAAGCCUGCACUCGAUACUGCUGUGACUUGAGUCCGGUAGGGGAGUGGGGAAUUCCUGGUGUAGCGGUGGAAUGCGCAGAUAUCAGGAGGAACACCGGUGGCGAAGGCGCCACUCUGGGCCGGUACUGACGCUGAGGAGCGAAAGCGUGGGGAGCGAACAGG